This 448-nucleotide ribosomal RNA is filed under the name uncultured bacterium. RNAcentral describes it as "bacterial SSU rRNA". It matches the Rfam family "Bacterial small subunit ribosomal RNA", at positions 331 to 795 of the family's 1533-position model. The record is from RNAcentral.
CCAGACUCCUACGGGAGGCAGCAGUGGGGAAUAUUGCACAAUGGGGGGAACCCUGAUGCAGCGACGCCGCGUGGGUGAAGGAGUGCUUCGGCAUGUAAAGCCCUAUCGGCAGGGAAGAAGCAAGACGGUACCUGACUAAGAAGCCCCGGCUAACUACGUGCCAGCAGCCGCGGUAAUACGUAGGGGGCGAGCGUUAUCCGGACUCACUGGGUGUAAAGGGGGCGCAGACGGCAGCGCAAGCCAGGAGUGAAAGCCCGGGGCCCAACCCCGGGACUGCUCUUGGAACUGCGCGGCUGGAGUGCAGGAGGGGCAGGCGGAAUUCCUGGUGUAGCGGUGAAAUGCGUAGAUAUCAGGAGGAACACCGGUGGCGAAGGCGGCCUGCUGGACUGCGACUGACGUUGAGGCCCGAAAGCGUGGGGAGCAAACAGGAUUAGAUACCCUAGUAGAA